AAAGUGAUCAAUUUCUUUGCGCUACUGAUUCCAAAUGUAUUAUCUGGUCUUGGGUAUGCGAUGGGAUGGAUGACUGUGGUGAUGGCUCAGACGAACGGGGGUGCUCCAAUCUUUGUUGGAAUAUUUAUAACCCACUUGCAAGACGGAGUAUAGUAAAAUCGAGUGCUGACAAAGCUGUAUCCAGGGGUCUUGACAAAGGAGGUAAAAAUGAAGCUGCUGGUUCGAAUUUGUACAAAAAGAAAAACGAAGUUGAAGCAGAGAAAAUUGUUAAUAAACUUGAAAAGCUCAGGUUACUCAGAAAAGGAAAACAUGGAAAAUAGAAUUGAACAUGUACGGAAGAAAAUGCUCGCAAACAAUUGGAAUCGACCAUGGACUAUGAUAUAAUUAAAUAUGUAUAAACAAUCAUUAACAGUAGUAUGCAAUGUUAUAUUAUCAUGUAUGUAUAUUUUGUAAAAACGAAAUGUAACAUUAAUGUAAUUUAAAGUUUUAAUUGAUUUAAUAUCUUCAAAAAUUUUUAACAAUAAUUGGUCAAUAUCUAUAUUCGUAUUUUACACUUUCAUUAUUCAUUCUAUUUUAUUAAUAAAAUACUUCUUGCAAUUGA
Molecule: long non-coding RNA, 601 nt
Organism: Mytilus californianus (California mussel)
Lineage: Eukaryota; Metazoa; Mollusca; Bivalvia; Mytilida; Mytilidae
Exons: 2
Source: RefSeq, a predicted model, not a curated record